This 3028-nucleotide ribosomal RNA is filed under the name Salmonella enterica. RNAcentral's name for it is "23S ribosomal RNA". It matches the Rfam family "Bacterial large subunit ribosomal RNA". The record is from RNAcentral. Lineage: Bacteria; Pseudomonadati; Pseudomonadota; Gammaproteobacteria; Enterobacterales; Enterobacteriaceae.
GGGUUGUGAGGUUAAGCGACUAAGCGUACACGGUGGAUGCCCUGGCAGUCAGAGGCGAUGAAGGGCGUGCUAAUCUGCGAUAAGCGCCGGUAAGGUGAUAUGAACCGUUAUAACCGGCGAUACCCGAAUGGGGAAACCCAGUGUGACUCGUCACACUAUCAUUAACUGAAUCCAUAGGUUAAUGAGGCGAACCGGGGGAACUGAAACAUCUAAGUACCCCGAGGAAAAGAAAUCAACCGAGAUUCCCCCAGUAGCGGCGAGCGAACGGGGAGGAGCCCAGAGCCUGAAUCAGCAUGUGUGUUAGUGGAAGCGUCUGGAAAGGCGCGCGAUACAGGGUGACAGCCCCGUACACAAAAGCGCAUGUGCUGUGAGCUCGAUGAGUAGGGCGGGACACGUGGUAUCCUGUCUGAAUAUGGGGGGACCAUCCUCCAAGGCUAAAUACUCCUGACUGACCGAUAGUGAACCAGUACCGUGAGGGAAAGGCGAAAAGAACCCCGGCGAGGGGAGUGAAAAAGAACCUGAAACCGUGUACGUACAAGCAGUGGGAGCCCCACCACUAAGCCAGUGGUGAACUCCACAUACGCAUCCUUUGCUGAGGAUACGGUUAACGGAGCGAAAGCGACGUUCAACCGCAAAAGAAGCAGAGGGGGCUUAGUGGUGGGGUGACUGCGUACCUUUUGUAUAAUGGGUCAGCGACUUAUAUUCUGUAGCAAGGUUAACCGAAUAGGGGAGCCGGAGGGAAACCGAGUCUUAAUUGGGCGUUAAGUUGCAGGGUAUAGACCCGAAACCCGGUGAUCUAGCCAUGGGCAGGUUGAAGGUUGGGUAACACUAACUGGAGGACCGAACCGACUAAUGUUGAAAAAUUAGCGGAUGACCUGUGGCUGGGGGUGAAAGGCCAAUCAAACCGGGAGAUAGCUGGUUCUCCCCGAAAGCUAUUUAGGUAGCGCCUCGUGAACUCAUCUCCGGGGGUAGAGCACUGUUUCGGCUAGGGGGCCAUCCCGGCUUACCAACCCGAUGCAAACUGCGAAUACCGGAGAAUGUUAUCACGGGAGACACACGGCGGGUGCUAACGUCCGUCGUGAAGAGGGAAACAACCCAGACCGCCAGCUAAGGUCCCAAAGUCAUGGUUAAGUGGGAAACGAUGUGGGAAGGCCCAGACAGCCAGGAUGUUGGCUUAGAAGCAGCCAUCAUUUAAAGAAAGCGUAAUAGCUCACUGGUCGAGUCGGCCUGCGCGGAAGAUGUAACGGGGCUAAACCAUGCACCGAAGCUGCGGCAGCGACACUCAGGUGUUGUUGGGUAGGGGAGCGUUCUGUAAGCCUGCGAAGGUGGCCUGUGAGGGUUGCUGGAGGUAUCAGAAGUGCGAAUGCUGACAUAAGUAACGAUAAAGCGGGUGAAAAGCCCGCUCGCCGGAAGACCAAGGGUUCCUGUCCAACGUUAAUCGGGGCAGGGUGAGUCGACCCCUAAGGCGAGGCCGAAAGGCGUAGUCGAUGGGAAACGGGUUAAUAUUCCCGUACUUGGUGUUACUGCGAAGGGGGGACGGAGAAGGCUAUGUUGGCCGGGCGACGGUUGUCCCGGUUUAAGCGUGUAGGUGUGUGUUCCAGGUAAAUCCGGUUCACUUUAACACUGAGGCGUGAUGACGAGGCACUACGGUGCUGAAGCAACAAAUGCCCUGCUUCCAGGAAAAGCCUCUAAGCAUCAGGUAACAUCAAAUCGUACCCCAAACCGACACAGGUGGUCAGGUAGAGAAUACCAAGGCGCUUGAGAGAACUCGGGUGAAGGAACUAGGCAAAAUGGUGCCGUAACUUCGGGAGAAGGCACGCUGACAUGUAGGUGAAGUGAUUUACUCAUGGAGCUGAAGUCAGUCGAAGAUACCAGCUGGCUGCAACUGUUUAUUAAAAACACAGCACUGUGCAAACACGAAAGUGGACGUAUACGGUGUGACGCCUGCCCGGUGCCGGAAGGUUAAUUGAUGGGGUCAGCGCAAGCGAAGCUCCUGAUCGAAGCCCCGGUAAACGGCGGCCGUAACUAUAACGGUCCUAAGGUAGCGAAAUUCCUUGUCGGGUAAGUUCCGACCUGCACGAAUGGCGUAAUGAUGGCCAGGCUGUCUCCACCCGAGACUCAGUGAAAUUGAACUCGCUGUGAAGAUGCAGUGUACCCGCGGCAAGACGGAAAGACCCCGUGAACCUUUACUAUAGCUUGACACUGAACAUUGAGCCUUGAUGUGUAGGAUAGGUGGGAGGCUUUGAAGUGUGGACGCCAGUCUGCAUGGAGCCGACCUUGAAAUACCACCCUUUAAUGUUUGAUGUUCUAACGUGGACCCGUGAUCCGGGUUGCGGACAGUGUCUGGUGGGUAGUUUGACUGGGGCGGUCUCCUCCUAAAGAGUAACGGAGGAGCACGAAGGUUGGCUAAUCCUGGUCGGACAUCAGGAGGUUAGUGCAAUGGCAUAAGCCAGCUUGACUGCGAGCGUGACGGCGCGAGCAGGUGCGAAAGCAGGUCAUAGUGAUCCGGUGGUUCUGAAUGGAAGGGCCAUCGCUCAACGGAUAAAAGGUACUCCGGGGAUAACAGGCUGAUACCGCCCAAGAGUUCAUAUCGACGGCGGUGUUUGGCACCUCGAUGUCGGCUCAUCACAUCCUGGGGCUGAAGUAGGUCCCAAGGGUAUGGCUGUUCGCCAUUUAAAGUGGUACGCGAGCUGGGUUUAGAACGUCGUGAGACAGUUCGGUCCCUAUCUGCCGUGGGCGCUGGAGAACUGAGGGGGGCUGCUCCUAGUACGAGAGGACCGGAGUGGACGCAUCACUGGUGUUCGGGUUGUCAUGCCAAUGGCACUGCCCGGUAGCUAAAUGCGGAAGAGAUAAGUGCUGAAAGCAUCUAAGCACGAAACUUGCCCCGAGAUGAGUUCUCCCUGAGACUUAGAGUCUCCUGAAGGAACGUUGAAGACGACGACGUUGAUAGGCCGGGUGUGUAAGCGCAGCGAUGCGUUGAGCUAACCGGUACUAAUGAACCGUGAGGCUUAACCUUACAACGCCGAAG